RNAcentral lists this long non-coding RNA (1249 nucleotides) under Sitophilus oryzae (rice weevil). RNAcentral's name for it is "uncharacterized LOC115881404, transcript variant X1". The record is from RNAcentral. Lineage: Eukaryota; Metazoa; Arthropoda; Insecta; Coleoptera; Curculionidae.
CAGCCAUUGCUCAUAUCAAAUAUCGAUUGUCGAUUUGAUUUUUCGCUUGCGAAUUUCCAAAGUAUUUGGUUGUAUUAGCAAUAUUAUGUGUGUUUAAGUGAUCACUAAUAUCCUAUAUAUUGCGCGAAUUACCCAGAGACCAACAUGGGAACAAGGCCUAUAUUUCGCUCAAGAAAAAUGUUGUAUUGAUAGAUCUAUGGAGGAAAUAACAAAGAUGAGUCCAGAAUUUAGCCAAAAUGCAUAAUUUUCCAAAAAUACUGAAAAACCAAAAAUAUGACAAGAAUCUUUGAAAAUAUAACACAAUGCCUUUUGUAAUUAUGUUGUUUUGUGAUGAUAGUAAAAUUUGGUUGAUAUAAAACUGAAACAUAACUAUUCCUGCUCUAUGAAUGACUCUGUGAUAACGUUACCCAGGAUUUAACUAAUUCAGCAUAAUCAGGUUUCGCUAGACAAGAGAAAUAUAUGACCAUGAAAGUGUAUAGAAGAUAGGCCUGAAAAUAAUAAUAUUCACUGUUAAAAUAAAAUAAAAGUGAUUCAAGUUAUAAAAGAACUAACCAGUGUAGAAAAUUCACUUUCAAAAAGAAAACAUAAAAAUGGUUGUACAGUUAAAGUGGAAUGAACUGAUAUUUUUAUAGAAACAGAACAAAACUACUAAAGGGAAACGAGGUGAAGAGCUGUAUGACAGAUGAAUCCGUCACUUGUCUUGUGGAAAACAUGCUUUUCUUAUGGUUAAGAAGUGGUAUAUCAUCUUCAUGUUCUUUCAUAAUUGAAGCACCAUCAUUGUGUAUCAUGUAGAAAAACUGCCGACAUUCAUAGGAAAUGUCAGUCACAAAAUCUGAAAUAUAGGGUAAAGGAGCCUCACUGCAACUUCUGAUAAGACUAUCAGAGAGGAUAAUAUACAAUCAGAGAGGGUAAAACAUAAAGAACGGACUAUCUGUGAUUUCAAGAUAGUGAAAAUUCACACAAGAAUAUCUAUAUACUUAUUUACCUUAUGAGUCUAUACCCAACAGAAAAAUAAAAGUGCUAGUAGAUAGUGGGAUAAAUUUAAAGGAUAAUAUAAUAUUAACUCAAAAAUUAGGUGAACUAUGUUCUAAAACAAAUUGCAGCACCAUCAGGGUUAACAUAAACAUAUGUCAUCAAACAAAUAUACACUCUUCAGUUUUUAGAGCAACAUGACCAAGAAGCAAUUGUAGGAUAGUAUUGAAAAGGAAUAUGCACUCCUAAGGAAAAUGACAUGGGGAUGGACACAGGA